RNAcentral lists this transfer RNA (57 nucleotides) under Bos taurus (domestic cattle). It matches the Rfam family "tRNA", at positions 8 to 63 of the family's 71-position model. Rfam says of the family: Transfer RNA (tRNA) molecules are approximately 80 nucleotides in length. Their secondary structure includes four short double-helical elements and three loops (D, anti-codon, and T loops). Lineage: Eukaryota; Metazoa; Chordata; Mammalia; Artiodactyla; Bovidae. The record is from Rfam by way of RNAcentral. RNAcentral also lists the same sequence under 2 other names.
UGGCUCAGAGGUUGAGGCGUCUGCCUCCAAUGCAGGAGACCCAGGUUCGAACCCUGG